Molecule: ribosomal RNA, 441 nt
Filed under: uncultured bacterium
Lineage: Bacteria
Description: bacterial SSU rRNA
Rfam family: Bacterial small subunit ribosomal RNA
Source: RNAcentral
AACGCGAAGAACCUUACCUGGAUUUGACAUCCUCUGACAGCGCUAGAGAUAGUGAUUUGGUAGCAAUACCACAGAGAGACAGGUGCUGCAUGGCUGUCGUCAGCUCGUGUGGUGACAUGUUGGGUUAAGUCCCGCAACGAGCGCAACCCUUGUCCUUAGUUGCCAGCAUUUAGUUGGGCUCUCUAAGGAGACUGCCGUGGUUAACACGGAGGAAGGUGGGGAUGACGUCAAGUCCUCAUGGCCUUUAUAUCCAGGGCGACACACGUGAUACAAUGGACGGUACAGAGGGAUGCCAAGAGGCAACUCGGAGCUAAUCUCAAAAAGCCGUUCUCAGUUCGGAUUGGAGUCUGCAACCCGACUCCAUGAAGUUGGAAUCGCUAGUAAUCGCGGAUCAGCACGCCGCGGUGAAUACGUUCCCGGGCCUUGUACACACCGGUACUA